GCUUAACGCGAAGAACCUUACCAGCUUUUGACAUGUCCGGUUUGAUCGGCAGAGAUGCCUUUCUUCAGUUCGGCUGGCCGGAACACAGGUGCUGCAUGGCUGUCGUCAGCUCGUGUCGUGAGAUGUUGGGUUAAGUCCCGCAACGAGCGCAACCCUCGCCCCUAGUUGCCAUCAUUCAGUUGGGAACUCUAGGGGGACUGCCGGUGAUAAGCCGCGAGGAAGGUGGGGAUGACGUCAAGUCCUCAUGGCCCUUACAGGCUGGGCUACACACGUGCUUCAAUGGCGGUGACAAUGGGCAGCGAAGGGUGACCCGGAGCUAAUCUCAAAAGCCGUCUCAGUUCGGAUUGCACUCUGCAACUCGAGUGCAUGAAGGUGGAAUCGCUAGUAAUCGUGGAUCAGCAUGCCACGGUGAAUACGUUCCCGGGUCUUGUACACACCG
Molecule: ribosomal RNA, 439 nt
Filed under: uncultured bacterium
Lineage: Bacteria
Description: bacterial SSU rRNA
Rfam family: Bacterial small subunit ribosomal RNA
Source: RNAcentral